This 281-nucleotide unclassified non-coding RNA is filed under the name fungal sp. GS35. RNAcentral describes it as "partial contains 5.8S ribosomal RNA, internal transcribed spacer 2, and large subunit ribosomal RNA". The stretch from base 1 to 71 matches the Rfam family "5.8S ribosomal RNA", at positions 84 to 154 of the family's 154-position model. The record is from RNAcentral. Lineage: Eukaryota; Fungi.
GUGAGUCAUCGAAUCUUUGAACGCACAUUGCACCCUCUGGUAUUCCGGAGGGUAUGCCUGUUCGAGCGUCAUUACAGCCCUCAAGCACUCUGCUUGGAGUUGAGCGCCGCCGGCUUACGGCGCGCUCCAAAAUCAGUGGCGGCGUCGGACGACCCCGAGCGUAGUAGAUCAUUCUCGCUCCAGGGGCCUGGACGAUGCUCGCCAGAAGCCAUUAUACCAAAGGUUGACCUCGGAUCAGGUAGGGAUACCCGCUGAACUUAAGCAUAUCAAUAAGCGGAGGA